GAUGAACGCUGGCGGCGUGCUUAACACAUGCAAGUCGAACGGGAAUUCUUUUAUUGCAACUUCGGUCGAUUUAAUUUAAUUCUAGUGGCGGACGGGUGAGUAACGCGUGGGUAACCUGCCUUAUACAGGGGGAUAACAGUCAGAAAUGGCUGCUAAUACCGCAUAAGCGCACAGAGCUGCACGGCUCAGUGUGAAAAACUCCGGUGGUAUAAGAUGGACCCGCGUUGGAUUAGCUGGUUGGUGGGGUAACGGCCCACCAAGGCGACGAUCCAUAGCCGGCCUGAGAGGGUGAACGGCCACAUUGGGACUGAGACACGGCCCAGACUCCUACGGGAGGCAGCAGUGGGGAAUAUUGCACAAUGGGGGAAACCCUGAUGCAGCGACGCCGCGUGAAGGAAGAAGUAUCUCGGUAUGUAAACUUCUAUCAGCAGGGAAGAUAGUGACGGUACCUGACUAAGAAGCCCCGGCUAACUACGUG
RNAcentral lists this ribosomal RNA (478 nucleotides) under uncultured bacterium. Its description in RNAcentral is "partial 16S ribosomal RNA". It matches the Rfam family "Bacterial small subunit ribosomal RNA", at positions 28 to 507 of the family's 1533-position model. The record is from RNAcentral.